RNAcentral lists this microRNA (21 nucleotides) under Hyalella azteca. Its description in RNAcentral is "miR-466f-1". The record is from RNAcentral. Lineage: Eukaryota; Metazoa; Arthropoda; Malacostraca; Amphipoda; Hyalellidae.
CGUAUGUGUGCAUGUGCAUGU